This 1784-nucleotide long non-coding RNA is filed under the name Anser brachyrhynchus (Pink-footed goose). RNAcentral describes it as "lncRNA (ENSABRG00000012123.1)". Lineage: Eukaryota; Metazoa; Chordata; Aves; Anseriformes; Anatidae. The record is from RNAcentral.
AUGAACUACCUUACCCUGAUGAGACUAGAAAUGGGAGCACUUGUGAGUUACAGGUACCUCCGAGCUAAGCACCCCUCAUGCCACGCAAAUAACACCCGUGUGGGUGUGCCAGAGGUACUGCUGUGUAUUACAGGCUGUAUCUUGUGCAGUGACAAGGCCUGGGCACCCGUGGACGUCACAACCUCUGAGAGUUUGAGGCACCUGCCAGACUUGUGCCUAGGUCAGACCCGAGUAAGCCUGUGAAAAUCAGGGAGGGGAGGACACUGGAGGCAUAAAGGUAGGAAGAGAAUCUUGCUUGGCUUGUUCUAUGCAGAGAUUUUUCGUCAAGUGUUUCUUAACACUGUUACUCUAUUUCUCAAAGCAGUGCCUGCUGUGGGGCACUCUUCUACCUUGCCUCUGAAGCUGGCCCACCACACUGAGACUUGUGGUACGAUGCACCCCGUUACAAGUGCAGAUUUGUCAGUCCUUCUGGGUUUGUGCAUGUAAAACAGUGCAGUUCUUGUAGGAUCUGAACUGCGAAGUCCACGGUCUCUACAAGAGCUUAAAAUAGAAGUCACUACUUAGCUCCCCCUUCUUUGGUGUGGUGUGUGGGUUGGGAUUUUUUUUGUCACCUUCCAUCUAGUCUCCAUCUGCACUUGGGCUUCUGAUGAUUCCCUCUAAUUCUAUUAAACCACAGAAUUACUUUUGUUGUUCUAAAUACAGUGGCUCUUUCAAAUUUCUGUCUCCUGAGGAUGAUGUGACGGAGCAUAUUAGUUUAUGGUAAGCUGCAGAAAACUUGAACUCCCUGACUGUUCAAUUCAUGCAGAGUUAUGACAGGUUAUGCCUACAGGCUACGAGUUAGGGAAAUUAUUUUCUGUUCAAACAUUUCAUUUCUCUGCAACUCUGUAAUUCUAUUUCUCUUCUUUUCUUUUUUGUCUCCCUGCAAGGGAAGUGCUGUGAUUUAAAACACUUUGGCUUUGGGUGCUCCUUUCUCUCAUCUAAAUAUGAGACUCGGAAAAUGAUAUGCAUUUUUCUUUAAUCAUAAAGCCAUCUUGUUUGCUAACCAAAAUCAUUUUAGGGAAGUCACAGCUGACAGCAUAAAAUGCAAAGGGAAAAGAAUACAAUUUUUAAUCUCAUUAGGUCUCUAAAAAUGUGACUUUGAAAGUACUGCUAAAAGCGGAUGUAAAAGGGGAUAAGGGGGAGUAAAUCCCAGAUUACCAAAAGGCCUCGGUCCCGUUUUGGUCCUGUACAGCUGGAACCAAUGGUGGUUUUGUCAUUGAGUACAAUGGAAGCGGGGUCACACUAUUUAAAACAGGUGGGAGGUGGAGGGGAUGACAAAGAGCCUUCCUAGACUGCCUCUUCACAGUAAAACUGGGCAAACUGGGCAGAUCUACCUGCUUGCACUUGUUCUUCUGCAGGUAGAUUUUAUCUCUUUUAAAGCUGCCUGCAAGGGCUUUCAGUCAUGUUUAAGAGCCUGCUUUUGGGCCAGCAGCCCAAGUGCUGUGGUCGUGCACCAGGACUUUUCACCUGACGUAGGAAGCUGGAAGGUAAAACUGUCCUAGGAGUCGGGGACAAGUUGAAAAGAGUAAAAUUAGCUGGAGUAAGGCUAUAAGGAUCCCAUCGUGGUCAUAACUUGUUUCUGUCCUUGAGGAGCUGCAGGUUUCCUGGCUUAUCCUCUUUGUGUCCGUGAACUAAGCCAGGAUCUGAUUUGAACUGGGAUAUAAAUGUACUUCAGGCAGAAAAAUCCCUGUUGGCAGUUCCCAUAAAACAAUAAAAUCAUGUCAAAUUUGACUAAUUCUUGGGAU